This 408-nucleotide ribosomal RNA is filed under the name uncultured bacterium. RNAcentral describes it as "partial 16S ribosomal RNA". It matches the Rfam family "Bacterial small subunit ribosomal RNA", at positions 28 to 526 of the family's 1533-position model. The record is from RNAcentral.
GACGAACGCUGGCGGCGUGCUUAACACAUGCAAGUCGAACGAAGUGGCGAACGGGUGAGUAACGCGUAAUCACCCUGCCCUUCAGAGGGUGACAACAGUUGGAAACGACUGCUAAUAUCGCAUACUGAAGGAGGGGCUUGCGUCUGAUUCGGUAGUUGGAGGGGUAAGGGCCCACCAAGGCGAUGGUCAGUAGCCGGUCUGAGAGGAUGAACGGGCACAGUGGGACUGAGACACGGCCCAGACUCCUACGGGAGGCAGCAGUGGGGAAUCUUCCGCAAUGGACGAAAGUCUGACGGAGCAACGCCGCGUGAGUGAUGACGGCCUUCGGGUUGUAAAGCUCUGUUAAUCGGGACGCGGUACCGGAAUAGAAAGCCACGGCUAACUACGUGCCAGCAGCCGCGGUAAUAC